GAUGAACGCUGGCGGCGUGCCUAAUACAUGCAAGUCGAGCGAACAGACGAGGAGCUUGCUCCUCUGACGUUAGCGGCGGGCGGGUGAGUAACACGUGGAUAACCUACCUAUAAGACGGGGAUAACUUCGGGAAACCGGAGCAAAUACCGGAGAAUAUAUUGAACCGCAGGGUGGAAUAGUGAAAGACGGUUGUGCUGUCACUAAUCGAGGGAUCCGGGCCGGAUUAGCUGGUUGGGCAGGUAACGGCUUACCAAGGCAACGAUGCGUAGCCGACCUGAGGGGCUGAUCGGCCACACUGGAACUGGGACACGGUCCAGGCUCCUACGGGAGGCAGCAGUAGGGAAUCUUCCGCAGUGGGCGAAAACCUGGCGGAGCGGGGCCACGUCAGUGAUGAAGGUCUUCGGAUCGUAAAACUCUGUUAUUAGGGAAGAACAGAUGUGUAAGUAACUAUGCACGUCUUGACGGUAACUGAUCAGAAAGCCACGGCUAACUACGUG
Molecule: ribosomal RNA, 497 nt
Filed under: uncultured bacterium
Lineage: Bacteria
Description: partial 16S ribosomal RNA
Rfam family: Bacterial small subunit ribosomal RNA
Source: RNAcentral